GCCCGGCCUCAAAACGUCGUUAGCAUGGCAUCGACGACAGAACUAGCAACCAAAGAAGAUUUCGAUGAAGAAACAAUUUCUCACCAUGAUCCUGGUUGAAUCCCGCGUACAGUAGUCCGUUCCCAUGUGUGUUUGAUGGUGGGCUGACCGGGUCUGCAGCUGCCAUUUUCCGGUGGGAAAGAGAAAUGGCCAUGUAUUUACUAGGAAAGGAAGCUCAUGCACCAUGGCAGAAGAGGAAAUGCCGGACUGUUGAAUGGGAAACAAGAACAAACAAUGAGGCAUGAGGAUUGGGUGUUGAGGGACCACUUGCCACAUUGUCCAAGUCCAAAAGGAGUGCAUCCCUCAGACCAUCCAGUACAUGGACAUCCUGUACCAGUCUGAUCUGAGCGUGGGGGUCCAGUUAUAGAGACUACAGCACAUUGACCCUGUGGACGGACAUGCCAAUAACUCAUCAAAUAUGAUACAAUAGUGUAAAACAUUGAAUUUGUAGAUGCAUCUAGGGCUGUGGCCAUCACAGUAAUUUACUGUUAAUUAACAUAAACACAUUUAAGCAUUUCCUGGCUUCUACACAAGCCACAGAUGCAGACCUUUGGAACAUCUAAAAAAAAAUUAAAGUCUAAUAAAUCCAUGUAAUAUAGCCUACACCUUCACAAUAAAUCUGAUUUAUAUUAGACAGGUCUAAAG
Molecule: long non-coding RNA, 684 nt
Organism: Oncorhynchus gorbuscha (pink salmon)
Lineage: Eukaryota; Metazoa; Chordata; Actinopteri; Salmoniformes; Salmonidae
Exons: 3
Source: RefSeq, a predicted model, not a curated record